UGGUAUGUUGAAGAGGUUGUGGC
This 23-nucleotide non-coding RNA is filed under the name Arabidopsis thaliana (thale cress). Lineage: Eukaryota; Viridiplantae; Streptophyta; Magnoliopsida; Brassicales; Brassicaceae. The record is from RNAcentral.